ACUGCGGUGAAAGCCGAGGCAGCGGGCAGACGAGCAGGGGGCGGGCGGACAUCUUGGGAUCCGGAGAGUGGCCGGGCCGGCAGAGCAGGGGGCCGCAGACACCAGGUCUGUUCUCAGAGCGAUGGGCCGCGGAGACUGAUCUGCCGCCAUGAUUGGAGGCUUAUUCAUCUAUAAUCACAAGGGGGAGGUGCUCAUCUCCCGAGUCUACCGAGAUGACAUCGGGAGGAACGCAGUGGAUGCCUUUCGGGUCAAUGUUAUCCAUGCCCGGCAGCAGGUGCGCAGCCCCGUCACCAACAUUGCUCGCACCAGCUUCUUCCACGUUAAGCGGUCCAACAUUUGGCUGGCAGCAGUCACCAAGCAGAAUGUCAACGCUGCCAUGGUCUUCGAAUUCCUCUAUAAGAUGUGUGACGUGAUGGCUGCCUACUUUGGCAAGAUCAGCGAGGAAAACAUCAAGAACAAUUUUGUGCUCAUAUAUGAGCUGCUGGAUGAGAUUCUAGACUUUGGCUACCCACAGAAUUCCGAGACAGGCGCGCUGAAAACCUUCAUCACGCAGCAGGGCAUCAAGAGUCAGGUACUUGAAUUGUGCAGACUAUAGUCAGGAUGGAGUCCCUUCAUCUCAGCUGGCCCCUGAGCCUUGUCCGAGCUGACUCAUGAGCCCUCCCAUGACAGGAAGUGCUGGCCUGAGCCUCCUGCCAUGGGCAUGAUUGCAGGCCUCUUUUGCUCCGUAUGGUCCUCCCACUGCAGGAGCAGCCAAUUCAGCAUCUCUGUUACCAGGAAUACAGCUCAAGCAGUUUC
Molecule: small RNA, 795 nt
Filed under: Pongo abelii (Sumatran orangutan)
Lineage: Eukaryota; Metazoa; Chordata; Mammalia; Primates; Hominidae
Description: retained intron
Source: RNAcentral